GCUCUGAUUAGGAAACCAAGUAGUCUCAUCGGGAACACCAUGAAACCUGUUGUGUUGUUCGUAGGAUCCAUCAUAUGAAGUGUAGGUAGGUUGUUCGUAAGGUCGAUCAUAUGAAGUGUAGGUAGGCUGCUCAUAAGAUCGAUCAUAUGAAGUGUAGGUAGGCUGCUCAUAAGAUCGAUCAUAUGAAAUGUAGGUAGGCUGCUCAUAAGAUCGAUCAUAUGAAAUGUAGGUAGGCUGCUCAUAUGAAUGCGUCUCCUCUUCUGCAUUACCAUACCAAGACGAUCGCUGUUUCCAAACAAACAAAAUAGAAGGGGAAUCCCCCAUCCGUCAGUAAGAAUGGCAGCACAGCACUGGAGAGAGUUGAGGAAAAUCCAAAACGGGACGGCGUUC
Molecule: long non-coding RNA, 390 nt
Filed under: Sorghum bicolor (sorghum)
Lineage: Eukaryota; Viridiplantae; Streptophyta; Magnoliopsida; Poales; Poaceae
Description: long non-coding RNA (SBIC_LNC003948)
Source: RNAcentral